This 393-nucleotide ribosomal RNA is filed under the name uncultured bacterium. RNAcentral describes it as "bacterial SSU rRNA". It matches the Rfam family "Bacterial small subunit ribosomal RNA", at positions 28 to 414 of the family's 1533-position model. The record is from RNAcentral.
GAUGAACGCUAGCGGCAGGCUUAAUACAUGCAAGUCGAGGGGCAGCAGCUUUGUAGCAAUACAAGGGCUGGCGACCGGCAAACGGGUGCGGAACACGUACGCAACCUUCCUUUAACUGGAAGAUAGCCCACCGAAAGGUGGAUUAAUACUCCAUAACAUAUUGAAGAGGCCAUCUCUUUGAUAUUAAAGCUCCGGCGGUUAAAGAUGGGCGUGCGUCUGAUUAGGUAGUUGGCGGGGUAACGCCCACCAAGCCUUCGAUCAGUAGCUGAUGUGAGAGCAUGAUCAGCCACACGGGCACUGAGACACGGGCCCGACUCCUACGGGAGGCAGCAGUAAGGAAUAUUGGUCAAUGGACGCAAGUCUGAACCAGCCAUGCCGCGUGGAGGAUGAAGG